UGUACACUUUCAUUCAAACUCAUGGCUAUAAUUGACAUGUGCAUAGAGAUGACUGUCAAAUAUCUUUAUCACUCCUAAAUCUUUUUACUGAGUUUUCAUCUUGUAUAGGACUUACACACCUGGGUAUCUUAAUUGUAUGCUUUCUAAUGAUAUCAUAGAAUCUUCCAUAGUAUAAAUACUUCCAUUUUAAAGCUCCUUAAGACCAUAUACAAGGUUAUGCAUCCAUUAUCUAUUAUGUCCUAAUGUUCCAACCUUAUCUCUUACUCUACCUCUUAUUUUCCAGCUGCCCGGACUCCUUGCAGAUCCUGAAUGCACCAGGCAACUUCAUGCUGUGUCCUACGCCAUCGUUGUGCAAGGAAAUGACCUCCACAUCUUUUAUUCACUUCAUGUGGUUACGGAUCUGGAGACACAGCUUCUGUCCAUACUCUGAACAUCUGGGAAAGGGACUAGCAAACCACUGUGCAGCCAGUUCCUUCAAGGGAUCCAUCACCAACAAGCUACCAUCAGAAGAAUUUCAAGAAUAGUGAGUCAAAUAUUAUUCAUUUCCUAAUGAAGACCAUCUCUAUAUACUUUCAGAUCUCAGAAUAUAAAAUUCAUCUAGAGCAAACAUAUAAUACUCAUGGUAUUUUGUGUAUAUAAAAAUAUAUUUCCUCUUGAGAAUGGAUGAGGAAAGCAAGUGUCCAAUUUUAUAUUCCACUAGGCUGUGCCUUCAGCCUAAUCUAGUAACAAUUUUAUAAGAAUCAAUUACUGAGCCAGAAUUAGAUUGUUACGCGAUUUUGAUGAUA
Molecule: long non-coding RNA, 785 nt
Filed under: Oryctolagus cuniculus (rabbit)
Lineage: Eukaryota; Metazoa; Chordata; Mammalia; Lagomorpha; Leporidae
Description: lncRNA (ENSOCUG00000032421.1)
Source: RNAcentral